GGCCAGUCCCAAAGCAGUGGUGGUUACAACUAUAUGAUCACAGCCAGUUACAGAUUUCUUUGUUCCUUCUCCAUUCCCACUGCUUCACUUGACUAUCUUUUA
This 102-nucleotide Y RNA is filed under the name Prolemur simus (greater bamboo lemur). Its description in RNAcentral is "Y RNA (ENSPSMG00000008257.1)". It matches the Rfam family "Y RNA". Rfam says of the family: Y RNAs are components of the Ro ribonucleoprotein particle (Ro RNP), in association with Ro60 and La proteins. The Y RNAs and Ro60 and La proteins are well conserved, but the function of the Ro RNP is not known. Lineage: Eukaryota; Metazoa; Chordata; Mammalia; Primates; Lemuridae. The record is from Rfam by way of RNAcentral.